UUGCAAGUGUUUGAUCAUCUUAACUGCAGCAUUCAGCAUAUAUAUUUGAUAUUAUAUUCAUCCCAGAUUCAGUGAAAUGGGGAGCAAACUGGCCCUUGAAGACAAAGGAAGAGUUAAAUUUCUUGAUAAGAGGAGGCAGAGGCAUGAAUGCAUUGAUGCAAUGCAUUCCAAGCCUUACUCUUGUUCUAUUUUGAUCCCUCCUCAGCAACAAGGUCCCAAAAGCAAAGAAAAACUGAUUGAAUUCUUUUGCAGUAGUUGCUUACUGUGUGUGUGUUGUCCACUAGUCUGUGUCUGUUGUUUCAUCAAGCUACCAUGCAGAAUCUGUAAGCAAGCAUUGAAGUGUGCCUGGGAAUGGACUUGUUAUGGAUCAAAGAAUAAGAUGUUUGCAGAGUAUUCUUCAUUUUCUGACAUUGAUUCAGAUGUCACAUCUGGUAAUAUUAAGCAUACUAGUGUUUCUGAAGACAAAACAUACAGAUUACAAGGAAUUCAUGUCUUUUAAUGAGGUUACUGGGUCCCUAAAGUCACAACUUGAGCUAUACCUAGAGGAGCCAAGGGUUGAUGCAAAGCUCAAAUUAGAUGUAUUAGCAUAUUGGAAGGGUAAUCAAUUCAGGUAUUCACAAGUUGCUUCAACGGCCAGAGAUAUCUUUGGCAUGCCCAUCUCUAGUGUUGCUUCUGAAAGUGCUUUCAGUGUUGGGGGAAGAGUUUUAGACCAAUUAAUAUAGAAGUUCUCUCUCACAAGAUGGAGUGGAGGCUUUAAUUUGCACUAGAGAUUGGCUUUAUGGAGCCAUUGAUGGUGAAAUUGUACCUGUAGAAGAUUUAACUGAAGACUUGAUGGUGGAGGAACCCUAAAAUGAACUUGAUUCAUAAACUAGUGUUUAAUUUAGAAUAUUUAUUGUAUAAUUUUAUUUUGAUGAGUUUGUACUUUGCACUAGCCUUGAGAUAUUUAGAUAGAUGAUGGUAGGAUGAAAUUAUGAGGU
Molecule: long non-coding RNA, 977 nt
Organism: Gastrolobium bilobum
Lineage: Eukaryota; Viridiplantae; Streptophyta; Magnoliopsida; Fabales; Fabaceae
Exons: 3
Source: RefSeq, a predicted model, not a curated record